AUGGGCGCAUUCCCAAAACAAACAUCCACGUGAAUUUAGAAGGACCGGGUUCUUUAGGUUAGAACAGAUCACAUGCUAAUUCAUCUUACCAUACCUUCUCCGUCUCCACCGCGCCAAAAAAUGCCUCCGGCGACGGCGGAGGUCGUCUACCACAAAAGUCAUGUCACUGAGAUUGACUUCCUCUACAAAAUCUCGACAUGACUUUGAUUUUCAACAAUUCUCAUUCACGGCUUUAAAUCGAAGCCAGAGAACAAAGAACCAUAAGUUUCACAUCCUAAAUUAAAUAGUGAUUACGUACGAAUUCAGUCCCAAAGCUUAGGGAUAAUGCUCCUUAGAGUGUAUUCUACAAGAUGAUAACAAGAUUAGGACGAGAAAAGAGAGAGAAUCGAAUACCUCCAAAGAAGAGAUUUUCUCGGGGAAUAGUUGGAAUGAAGAAGAUGAUUACAGCGAGAUGGAUACUCUUGAAUCAGGUUCUAAUGCAUAAAGGCAUGACAUGGUAUGGCAAAGCAAAUCAAGUCAUGGUUUUGAUGAAACUUACACAUGAAACAACUUUGGCAUGUGAGAUCAAGGGAUAAGAUGGUACAAUGAAGAACCAAAGUGGAGAUUAGGAUUAGGCUCAUGGAUUAGGUGAGUUGAUUUUGAUCAACUGGUUGACCAAAAAGUCAACAUUUAUCCAAAGUUAACUGUAGGGUCAAGGUCAUAUUUCUUGUAAUUUUUUGUAUGAAUGAUGUAAUUGGUAUUUGUAUGAAUGGAAUGCACUAUUUUGAAUGGAAAUGAUUCCUUUAUUUUAA
Molecule: long non-coding RNA, 791 nt
Organism: Lathyrus oleraceus (garden pea)
Lineage: Eukaryota; Viridiplantae; Streptophyta; Magnoliopsida; Fabales; Fabaceae
Exons: 2
Source: RefSeq, a predicted model, not a curated record